GCCCUGAUGGUCUAGCGGUAUGAUUCUCCCUUAGGGUUGUAAGCCCACAUCUGGGAGAGGUCCCAGGUUCGAUCCCUGGUUAGGGCC
This is a non-coding RNA of Colletotrichum graminicola M1.001, 87 nucleotides long. Lineage: Eukaryota; Fungi; Ascomycota; Sordariomycetes; Glomerellales; Glomerellaceae. The record is from the annotation of a RefSeq genome assembly.